RNAcentral lists this ribosomal RNA (486 nucleotides) under uncultured bacterium. Its description in RNAcentral is "partial 16S ribosomal RNA". It matches the Rfam family "Bacterial small subunit ribosomal RNA", at positions 30 to 507 of the family's 1533-position model. The record is from RNAcentral.
AUUGAACGCUGGCGGUAUGCCUUACACAUGCAAGUCGAACGGCAGCACGGGUGCUUGCACCUGGUGGCGAGUGGCGAACGGGUGAGUAAUACAUCGGAACAUGUCCUGUAGUGGGGGAUAGCCCGGCGAAAGCCGGAUUAAUACCGCAUACGAUCCACGGAUGAAAGCGGGGGACCUUCGGGCCUCGCGCUAUAGGGUUGGCCGAUGGCUGAUUAGCUAGUUGGUGGGGUAAAGGCCUACCAAGGCGACGAUCAGUAGCUGGUCUGAGAGGACGACCAGCCACACUGGGACUGAGACACGGCCCAGACUCCUACGGGAGGCAGCAGUGGGGAAUUUUGGACAAUGGGCGAAAGCCUGAUCCAGCAAUGCCGCGUGUGUGAAGAAGGCCUUCGGGUUGUAAAGCACUUUUGUCCGGAAAGAAAUCCUUGACUCUAAUACAGUCGGGGGAUGACGGUACCGGAAGAAUAAGCACCGGCUAACUACGUG